This 252-nucleotide ribosomal RNA is filed under the name uncultured bacterium. RNAcentral's name for it is "partial 16S ribosomal RNA". It matches the Rfam family "Bacterial small subunit ribosomal RNA", at positions 524 to 776 of the family's 1533-position model. The record is from RNAcentral.
UACGUAGGGUGCGAGCGUUGUCCGGAAUUACUGGGCGUAAAGAGCUCGUAGGCGGUUUGUCGCGUCUUCGUGAAAACUCACAGCUUAACUGUGGGCGUGCGGGCGAUACGGGCAGACUGGAGUACUGCAGGGGAGACUGGAAUUCCUGGUGUAGCGGUGAAAUGCGCAGAUAUCAGGAGGAACACCGGUGGCGAAGGCGGGUCUCUGGGCAGUAACUGACGCUGAGGAGCGAAAGCGUGGGGAGCGAACAGG